GGCAGGUGGUGUCAGAAGGCAAUAGUUUCUUGCCAUCCAUAUAUACCUUACUGGAUGAGUGCCCUCUAGUGGAGAUCACAAAGAAUAUGCAACACCAGAGGUUAAAAAGAGACACCAGGCCUGCGUGCUAUCUACCUAUCUGUUGCUGCUGCGUGUGAAGCCCAAUUGCCUCUGUAUGGUGUGAGGGACGGAAAGCAAGGCUCAGUACAAGAGCUGGCAACAGUGCAUUUGCCUGUUACUGGAAAUUUUAAUGAAGCAAAAAUAAAGGUAUUUUCAAAUGCCUCAA
Molecule: non-coding RNA, 286 nt
Organism: Marmota flaviventris (yellow-bellied marmot)
Lineage: Eukaryota; Metazoa; Chordata; Mammalia; Rodentia; Sciuridae
Source: RefSeq, a predicted model, not a curated record